Non-coding RNA from Nicotiana tabacum (common tobacco), 676 nucleotides. The record is from RefSeq and is a predicted model, not a curated record. Lineage: Eukaryota; Viridiplantae; Streptophyta; Magnoliopsida; Solanales; Solanaceae.
CACAUUUCGAGGCGGGUAAGACGACAAGAAUAAUUUAGAAAUAGUUUAGAUGGAAGGUCAACUCAGACAAGCCUUGAACAUCAUAAGAGCAAACUAAAAAUUGUGACCUUUGAAGAGCAACAAGCUAAGAUGCUCACCAAAAAACUUUCAUAAAGCUUGAAGUAUUUGACCUAGUAUGGCGGGGCUUAAGUUUGGUUCGAUCUUCACUAUUCUUCUCAUGGCAAUCACUAUUGAUGCGAUGUGGUUUUCCAAGAAUCAAGUUAUGGCUGCAAGAGAUGUCGAUCCUAAUCUAUCAGGACUGAAAAGGAGACUACUUCCGCAACUUAAUGAUAUUUUCACUUGUGGGAGACCUUGUAGUUCUGAUGAUGAUUGCAGUGAUUGUUUCAUUUGCUGUAGCUGUACAUAUGAGCUCUGGGAUCCUACUCUUUACCGAUGUCGCUCAACUACGUACACAUAAAUGUUACAUUUAGUGAUGAAAUAAGAUAGAUCUCUAUUAUGCAUAAGUGGUUCUUUUUAAUUUCAGUAUUUGCUUUGUUUCUCUUAUGUUCUUGCCUUACAUACUUUUUAUGGAUGACAAAGAAAUUCAAGUCAUGAAUGACUUCUUGUUUAUGAAUAAUAAAAUAAUAGCUAUUAUUCAGCUCCAAUAAAAAUGCUGGUUGGGGUAGCUUUAAUUUCA